GAUGAACGCUAGCGGCAGGCUUAACACAUGCAAGUCGAGGGGUAGAGGAAGCUUGCUUCCUUGAGACCGGCGCACGGGUGCGUAACGCGUAUGCAACCUACCUUUUACAGAGGGAUAGCCCAGAGAAAUUUGGAUUAAUACCUCAUGGUAUAUAUCAUUCGCAUGUUUGAUAUAUUAAAGUUCCAACGGUAAAAGAUGGGCAUGCGUCCUAUUAGCUAGAUGGUAAGUAACGGCUUACCAUGGCAACGAUAGGUAGGGGUCCUGAGAGGGAGAUUCCCCCACACUGGUACUGAGACACGGACCAGUACUCCUACGGGAGGCAGCAGUUGAGGAAUAUUGGACAAUGGGCGCAAGCCUGAUCCAGCCAUUGCCGCGUAGCA
Molecule: ribosomal RNA, 380 nt
Filed under: uncultured bacterium
Lineage: Bacteria
Description: bacterial SSU rRNA
Rfam family: Bacterial small subunit ribosomal RNA
Source: RNAcentral